This is a long non-coding RNA of Dreissena polymorpha, 3967 nucleotides long. RefSeq lists it as uncharacterized. The transcript has 5 exons. Lineage: Eukaryota; Metazoa; Mollusca; Bivalvia; Myida; Dreissenidae. The record is from RefSeq and is a predicted model, not a curated record.
AUACCUUUAAGGAGUACAUCAUGUAACAAGUUUGUGGGCCCGAAGUACGGAACAUUUCGAGCUAAAACGAUUUCAUGCGAACGAAAACCUUGAGCUAUGUAUCAUACUGUAUAGAGUAUAGACGAUAACAUCAGCUAUAUCGGUAAACAUUUAAUUAGUGUGUCAGGUACAUUAGGUUAACAAUAUCAACACGGAGUAAGCAUGACACCGCAAGUGGAAGCAAAGACAACAUUGUCCAAUGUGCGUUUGGCCACUUGGUUUAUACGAUUAGUCACUUUCGGAUACCUUUUGCCGGAAUCGUCUCACUGAUCUUCGGCGGUGCAUAUGACGUCAACGUCGGGCUUUUGAUUUUUGGAUCCGUGGGACUGACACAACCAUUACUAUUGCCAUGUGCAUACUCGAUUCGACCGUCACCAAAUGACCGAAAAACAUUGAUUGGUUUGAAGUUUAUUCUGUACGUCUGGCUCUUUAUACUGAGCAUAGCUAUGGCGACGUGCCUUUUACUUUCGCUGAUUGCCAUGUUUUCAACUACUAUCGCACUUCUGUCCGAUUCCGAAGAUUUCACUAUUUUGGCCUACGUCGUCUUCGCUCCGUGCCUCGUUUUCACGGUGAUUAACCAGUACACAUUUUGUAUCCUACAUAAACACGGUCUCUGCUUCAUGAUAGCCUCAACAAUGAUAUUGAGCAUGCAAAUGUGUCGAUUGAGAACGGUUAUGGGUCCACAGGGUUGACUGCUGGGGGUGCACCUGACGAAACCUCAAGGAUCUUGCCACCUUCGAAUUCAGUUGACGUCGGAAACCUUGAAGCCGGGUCCGAUUUCUAUGUUGGAAAUAAUCGCGACAGCCUUGUCUAGCACAAGGUAUUGAUCUUUGGGUUGUUCAGGACAAGGUGAUUGAACCUUUUCGAGAACAAAGUGCUUAUAGUUCUCCAAGUUUUCUCAAACAAAGUGAGUUUGUCUAUUAUUUAGAACAAGGUGGGUUUGGCUUUUGAAUUUUCAAAGGACAACACUCAAAAUAACAUUAAGCACAACGCAUUACACAGGAACGUCAUUACGUGUUACAUAGAAAAAAAACUAGGCACGUCUUAACGUGUUUGUUGCCGGGUACGCGACAUGACUUGAAGAAAUACCCAAGAACUAAAACAAAUCAAUGAGUACGAUAAAGAUUGUGUGAUCUUAGCAAUGACAUGUGUGCGUUUUUUUUAAAUGUAUUUUUACAGUAUCCAUUUCAAACUAUGACAACGAAUAUUGCCAAUAUUUUAAGAAUUUAUUCUAACGAAGUUAAAAUACGUAUCUUGACAAUUAACUGAAUACAAACAAAUAUCUACAUCGACAUCAAGAAAAAAUACUUGAUUUUAAGCAUUUUAUUAAAAUCAUAUAUCAUGUUGUGAAAACAAAGAUAUUGCUGUGGCUUAAAACAUAUAAAUUUGUUUUAACUUGCCUUGUGCACCGUUAAGCAAUCGAUGAAUUGUGUUUGAUUUAUUAUUAUGACUCAUGGUUGUUGUUUGAAUUUGAUUUGUAUUUACCUGCAACGAAAUCACACUUAACAUAAAACGGUGUUUAUUAAAAGUAAUGAUAACGCAGUUCAAUAAAGCCAUUAUACAAUUAUCCGUUUUGCAAAAUGAUGCGACAUUUCAAUGAAACGAUACACAUGUUAUCGUAAAAUAAUGAAAGCAUUGUUUUAAAUCGAUUAUCGGUGACAAAAUAUAGGUAUUGUGCCCAUGAAUGUGCAAAAGAGAAGAGAUUUUAAGGAAAUCGGGCUUACGGUGUAACUGGUAUACAACAUACGUGAAUCUUAAAAAAAUAAUCAACAGGUUUUUGAUGUAAAAUAAGACCAGAAAGAAAUACAGUUAGAUUAAAACUUACACCUGCGUUCAAGACAUAAAUACUUGAAUAAAUUAAUUGAUGAAUGAAUGAUUGAAUAAAUUUAUGAAUGAAUGAAGACAUUAAUUAAUUCAAAUAUGGCGCAAUUAUUAGAUAAAUGCCAAAAUAGUUUCGAUAAUGCCAAAAUAGUGUUUGUUUCCACUAAUCCGACCGCCCCUUAUAUAUACGUCACAAAAAUCCAUGUAGCCAAGAACAGUGAAAGUGUAUCGUAUGACGCAAUUGAGAAGCGAUGACACGAUGACGUGAAAAAAAUCCAGGAGCAGUACUGUAAAAUAAAAAAUAAAAAUAUUAAAGGGGCAGUAGAUAUCUACUGUAAAAUUGAAUUACCAAUAAAACCAGCUUAGGUGAUUAAAUAUUUAAGAAUCAAACAUAUACAAUGGCAAUUCCGUUUAUGAUUCCAAAUUUAACAGAAUAAAGAUAUAGUGAAUCAAAAACCAACACGCAUGUGUUAAAAACACAUGCUUGUGUAAUUUAACGUUGUUUUUUUCUUUAAAAGUGAAAUUUAUACUUCUCGCAUUUUUAUUCCACAAGGACGGUACGAUGGAGCAGUCAUUUGUAAUGUUAAUAUAAUUGUGACUUAUGAUUCCCGAUAUUUGACUUGUUCUAAAAGAAUAUGAGAUUAGUUCAUGGAGUGGACAAAAUCGCACAAAAUAAUCCAUAUGAAGCUUCGUUGAAAUCUAAGUUUGAUAGCAAAACAAAUAGAAACACACAAUUUAAACGAUAUAUUGGUAUUUAAAUUCGACAGGGUGUCCGACUGUUCUCAUAUAACUUUUUUUUUAAUGCAGGGAUUCAAAAGAUAUCUGAUUCCAUGUUCGCGUAAUCAACUUUAGAAACACCGUUCAGGACUGAAUUUUGCGUUUGAACCGCGUCGAAGGACCAGUCGAACGAGAUCUUUGAUCUUUGAUACAUUGCCUAUGCCAGCAACUCGAAAGCGUAAAAUGGGCUCCGGAAACGACACACGAUUGAUAUUGAAUACUUCAUGAGCCCCUUCGAUCAUCAGUUAAAAUCAAUUUUCGUAGGUAAAUACGAAGACGUUAGAUCAUAAUUAAGUACAUAGAUGACUUUUCAUAGGCAGAUAUAGGCCACUGUACUCGUUCUGUAUCCUUCACAAGAACGGCUGCUGCUUCUUUUACAGACUCAUGCGGCAGCGAUGGUAACGUUAUAAAAAAACAUAAAGCUUAAAUGUAACAAGGUCACCAGGGCCUUUCACGUAUUGUAUAGCGUACGUUAACAGAACGCUUGAAUGAAACAAUUGCGGCUGCGUCGGUUACGACUUAAUAAUGUUUAUAAGGAUACACAUAAAUGAUACAUUUGCCUAAGUGUCGGUAGCGUAUUUAAAACGCAUUUAAACGAAACGCUUAAAUGCAACACUGGCGCUCGCGUUGGUUACAUGUUAAAAACGUAUUGUAACAUGACGUUUGAAUAAUUAACUGUCUUCAGCGCCGGUAUCAUUUUAGCAAGGUUUUGAAACAUAAUGCUUUAAUGGCAUACUGGCAUCAAACUUUCAAGAUGUUUAUUACACAGUGUAGGGUAAAGUUUGAUCAUCAGACUGACAUCAGAGUCGGUAAUGUUUUUUAACUGUAUUCUAAGGUAACUAUCAAAUGACACAAUAAUGUUAUUUCUUAACGCUUAAAUGACUUACUCGCGUAUACGAAAGAAAGGUUUAUUUAAGCGUGCAGUAACUAACAUAGAUUGAUAAAAUGGCUUCACGGUUGAUCUGGUUAUGUUAAGCGUACAGUAACGCUACGCCUAAAUGACAAAGUGGCGUCAGCGUUGGUAAUGUGUUUAAGACGUAUUGUGUUGUUACGCUUCAAUGUGAUGUAUACUUUUAGUUUUACUUAAACUAAUUUGCCUGUGUACUGCUUUUGUGUAUUUUGGAGUUUAUCUGUAUAUAUGUCAAAGUGUUUUACUCGAUUAUUAUUGGAUCUGAAAACAUUGUAAUUAUUCUACAUAUAACACUUGCAGUUUUUCAAUGGUUUGUUGUUUUACUGCAUACAAUUUAGGUUUGGAAAACGGAACUUUUUAAAUGUAAGUUAGCUCUUGACAUACCACUGUCGUACUUGCGAUUAUAUGUGUGCCUUCGUG